GGGAUGGAGCGGGGCUGGAGCGGAGCCGCGCACACGCCGGGGAGAGAGAGAGAGCGCUCGGAGAGAGAGCUCGGAGUGACCUGAUUUAAUUGGCAGCGCUUCAAUGGCAUCGAGUCCUGCCCGGCCGCGUGCCCAGCCCCGAUGCGCCCGCGGCUCGGCCCCCCCUCAGCAGAGCCCUUCUGCAGACGCUCAGCGGGAUCAGGGCUCGGCUUUAGCGUCACUGCCGGGCUCUGCAGCGCGUCCCCGGGGUCAGGGGGGCUCAGCUGCGCCGGCCCCUCGAGGCUUCUCCAACAGCGAAAGGAAAAAUCGGAGGUUUCAGCCAGCGCUGGGUCAUGCAAGGAAAUAGCCAUUUAUUUUUCCCAGAUCCCAUUAACAUCCCGUGGAAGCCCCAGUGGGUUGGAAAAGCCUUUCCAGGUGGUUUUUGUGCCCGUGCCUGCUGCCAGGGCUGUGGGUACUCGAAGCAGGGUCUCGUUUGCAGCCCCCCCCUGAGCUGUGGGGGUGGCAGGGACAGCUCCUGGCAGCUCCCUUCCCGCUGAACAGGGGCUGAGCGGCCUCUCUGAUCCACCCCAAACCAUUCCAUGCCCAUUCCCGGUGCUUCCCAUGGAGCAGGGGGCAGCUCCAGCCCGGUCCCGAUUCCCGAGGGAGCCUCUCAUCACUCGGAGGUGCCACCUGCGCCCUCUGCCCCAGGGUUCAUCCUCAUGGCACAGCCCCGUGCCAGGGCCACCUCCAGCUCUGGGGACAGCAGGGAUUUUCCUGCUGGAUGCUCCUGCUCCUGGCUGGGUCCCGCUGCACAGCCUGGAGCUGCUGGGGGGUCUUUUUGGGGCACCUAUCGGCCCUAAAGGUGCCCCUGGAGGCACUGGGGUGGCAGCAGCUCCAUCCUUGGCUUCCUCCCAUCUCCAGCAGGGUGAGGACACUGCUGUCACCUCACUGGUGCCAUGGCACCCUGGCAGAGUCCCCGCUGCGCUUUAGGAUCAGCAGGAGCAUCCCCAUAACCACAGAUCCGUCUCCAGGCUGAUUUUCUCCUCCCCGGCCUCAGAAUCCCUGUGCAGAUCCCCUCCUCCGUGAUCCCCUUCCCGUCUCCAGCAGGGCGGGGACGCUGCUGUCACCUCGCUGGUGCCACGGCCUUGCAGAGGGCACACCCCGGCAGUGUCCCCCCACUGCUUUAGGAUCGGCAGGAGCAUCCCCACAACCGCAUUUCCAGCCAGCCCCUGCUCCAAGGGGAGGGAAGGAGCUGGAAUCCGGCAUUCCCGCUGCUCCAGGCAUUCCUUGGCCGAUGGAAAAGCCGCUCCCAGGUAUCCCGGAGCGCUCUCCACGCCCCAUCUCGCUCCUGCCGUGCUGCUGCAGAGGCUGAGUAAUUCCUGUCGCUCCCGAGAUGCUCCUCAGGCAGCCGAGCACAUCCCGAGCCAGGUUUUAAUUGCGUGGGAUCGCAGCCGAGAUGGCUCUGAUUUAUCUUCCCUGCUGCACCAGCACUUCUGCCUGGCCGGCUCCAGGAUCCACCUGGAGAAUAUUCCCUGGAAAUGGGGUUGAGAUUUUUCCUUGCUGGAGCCUGGGGUGGGUUUUUCCCACUCACAUUUGUAGGGUUGGAAGGAGAUUCCCAUCUUUUAUCCCGUAGGACACGAGGUGAUCUCCUCAGGGAGAUGCCCUGAGGCAUUUUCCUGGAGAAUCAGGAGGUUUGGAGGGUUAAGCCAGGCUCAGCAAAGCUUAGCUCUACCAGACCUGGAUGAACAAAGGGCUCCAGCACCUUUUAGUCCUUUCUGGAUUAGGAAAACCUCACGGAUAGAGGAUCCCUGCAGGCUUGGGAAAGUUUUGGGAGUGAUGCCUCCAAUCCCAAAGGCAGGAACCUUUGGAUCCUGGGAUAGACAGGAUCCAUUCCCAGCUGUUUCCCUCCUCCCUCUCCCUUCCCACAUUCCAAGCUGUUCAAAGAAUUCCCCACAUUUUCACCCCUUCAAGACAAGGAUCCCAAAUCCCAUCUUUAACUCCAAUCCCAAAUUCAAGCAAAUCCCCCAAAUUCCCACCUCCUUCUUGUUGCCAUGGAGAGACCCCAGGAUCCUCCGGAGAACCCUUCCCACGAUCCGGGAAUGGGAAAUGUUCCUCUGCUUCCUUUAUUCCCUGCUUUGGGGCUGCUUUACGGCUGCCAUAAAAGCUGCCCAUAAAUCCCAUAAAACCCAGGAAUAACCGGAAUUAGAGCCCAAACGGGACCGGCUCCCUCCGGCAGCGCUGGGAAUGUGGUGGGAUUUAUCCUUUCCUCAUUCCCGGACAUCUUUGCAUCCACCUUGGGAAGCAAUUCCGGGGUUGGACACCCCGAUGGAGUUCCCCUGUUUAUGGGGUUUUUUUAAUGGAUAACGUGGGGGUUUUUAUGGAUUACAUGGGAUUUUUAAAUGGUGUCCCCGUUAUGUAAAUCCCAGCGUGGGAACGCCGUGGAUUUUAUGGAUGCAGCAUUUGCGCGGCUGAGGGGACACCUUGGAUUGUCACAUCAAAGGACGAGGAAAGAAACCUCUGGGAAAUCGGGAGCCCUGUGGAUAAAUCGAUUCCGUUUGAUUUUGCCAACAGAGGUCAGCGGGAAGCGUGGAGGAAGCUGGAAUUGGGCAAAGAAAUCCCGGGAUCUCAUUGUGCCGGGAAUGUUUUCAGAGGGGAAGGGAAGGGAAAAGGGGAAAGAAAAGGGGAAGAGGGAAGAGGGAAGAGGGAAGAGGGAAGAGGGAAGAGGGAAGAGGGAAGAGGGAAGGGAAGCAAAUCCCUUUCCCAACUCUUGAACUAUGAAUUCCCCUGCUUUGACCUCCUCUCCAAAGGGCUUCGCCGCCCUUCCUUUAUUUCUCGGAGCAGGUUUUGUUUUCCCUGGGCAUUCCCAGGCUCCAGAUGGUGCCAGGCUCAGCCAUUCCAGGCCCUCAGCCCCCGCUGCCCACGGAGCCCCAGCUGGGAUCAGAGCCCGUCCACCCAAGGCCCCUCCGGAGCUUUUCCGCAGCUUUUCCGCAGCUUUUCCGUGGCUCUGACCGGGAAUUCUUUGGAGAAACGUGACACAAAGGAAUAAACAGAGCUGAUGGAUCCCAUUCCCUUCCCAAGGGAAGGCCAAGGAGCAUCCUCAGGGAAUGAGGGUCCCACCGGAACUGUCGCCCAUAGGUGGGAUGGGAAUGAGGAUUUUCCCUGGCUGUGGAUGCUGAGGGAGCCUUGGAUGAAGAAAAUAUUCCCCAAAUCAUGGAAUGAUUUGGAAGGGAGGCCACUGAGUCCCUGAGCAGGGACAUUCCCACUAAACCUUAUCCCAGAGCCAGCAGGAUGACAUUCCAUGGAAAACAGCACAGCCAACACUCCCACACCUCUGAAAAAUCUGGGAGAAAAGCAGGAUUUGGCUAAAAACACCCGAGAGAAGCAAACAACGUUUCUUGGGAAGGGAAGGAGAAAGCUGGGAACGUUUUCCAAGAACCCCCCCGCUCCAGCACGGGGAGGACAAUGACAAACGAGGUGAACUCGGAGGCUGCGGAGAAAAUCUUGGCAGCGGGCGGAAAAGGCGCUGCCAGAUUCCGGGGAAUUUUAACUGGCAUUUCAUUAGCGGCACUCAGGUGGUCACAGGACCCGUGGCAGUGCCGCAGUUCCUGGGAUUUGUUAAUUAAAGCUGCUCCUGACAGGAAUUAACGAGUU
Corvus hawaiiensis (hawaiian crow) is the source of this 3630-nucleotide long non-coding RNA. RefSeq lists it as uncharacterized. The record is from RefSeq and is a predicted model, not a curated record. The transcript has 2 exons. Lineage: Eukaryota; Metazoa; Chordata; Aves; Passeriformes; Corvidae.